AUGACAGGGGCUAAGAAAAUCCAACAAUUCCGCCCCAUCUGCCUUCUUCGCUGCCCCUAUAAACUCAUUACAAAGGUGUUGGAUAACCAAGUAGCUAUCUAUGCGGAUAAGCUGAUCAGCCGCCACCAAAAUGCCUUCAUUAAAAACAGAAACAUCAUGGAUGGGAUUCUGUCUUUGCAUGAGGUGCUACAUCAUACUCACAACAAAAGAAAGAUUGGAGUGGUUUUAAAGCUUGAUUUUGAAAAAGCUUAUGACAAAAUCAACUGGGAUUUCCUUCUGGAAUGUGAUAGGAUGAGGGGGUUUAACAAUAAAUGGUGCGGAUGGAUUAAAAAUAUUCUGAAUAAUGGCACGGUGAGCAUUAAGUUGAAUAAUGAGACUGGGCCUUACUUUGUGAGCCGCAAAGGGGUUCGCCAGGGCGAUCCCCACUCACCCUUCAUGUUUAAUCUAGCGGUUGAGUGUCUCUCGAAGAUGAUUUUCAAUGCUCAAAAAGAGAAAUAG
RNAcentral lists this ribosomal RNA (498 nucleotides) under Triticum aestivum (bread wheat). RNAcentral describes it as "partial small subunit ribosomal RNA". Lineage: Eukaryota; Viridiplantae; Streptophyta; Magnoliopsida; Poales; Poaceae. The record is from RNAcentral.